UAAUUCAAGCUCCGAGCAUAACAUAUCCAAUAUCAAAUGCUAGUUUUCAACAAUAAGUUCUUGCAUUUCAAGAAAAAGUUGUUAAAUGGAUAAGAGAUAUAUCAAAUAAUUUAUUAAAGAUAAACUUCAAUUGCUCAACAAACUCCAGUAUCUUUAUUUGAUAAUGAGUGUGUAAAAUCAAAAGAGGAGUUUUUUCUGUUUGAAGAAAAUAUGAAAGUGGAUUUAUUCGUAGAAGAAAAAAUUGUACAACUAAAGCAAAUAGGAGGGCUUGACUAUAAAGAUACAAUAAAGAACAUAAUGAAGCAAUUUUUUUCCGAUUUUGCC
Molecule: non-coding RNA, 324 nt
Organism: Hydra vulgaris (swiftwater hydra)
Lineage: Eukaryota; Metazoa; Cnidaria; Hydrozoa; Anthoathecata; Hydridae
Source: RefSeq, a predicted model, not a curated record